RNAcentral lists this transfer RNA (68 nucleotides) under Jatropha curcas. It matches the Rfam family "tRNA". Rfam says of the family: Transfer RNA (tRNA) molecules are approximately 80 nucleotides in length. Their secondary structure includes four short double-helical elements and three loops (D, anti-codon, and T loops). Lineage: Eukaryota; Viridiplantae; Streptophyta; Magnoliopsida; Malpighiales; Euphorbiaceae. The record is from Rfam by way of RNAcentral.
GGUUCUAUAGUGUAGUGGUUAGCACUCUGGACUUCGAAUCCAGUGACUUGUAUAAAACAAGAUAACCC